AGCGUAAGCCGCCAUGGACGAGCUUGCCGGAGCGGGAACUC
RNAcentral lists this small RNA (41 nucleotides) under Sinorhizobium meliloti 2011. RNAcentral describes it as "putative ncRNA". The record is from RNAcentral. Lineage: Bacteria; Pseudomonadati; Pseudomonadota; Alphaproteobacteria; Hyphomicrobiales; Rhizobiaceae.